GUAGUCAUAUGCUUGUCUCAAAGAUUAAGCCAUGCAUGUCUAAGUAUAAGCAAUUUAUAUGUGUGAAACUGCGAAUGGCUCAUUAAAUCGGUUAUAAAGUAUUUGAUAGUGAAAGACUAUAUGGAUAGCCAUAGUAAUUCUAGAGCUAAUACAUGCGUAAAGGCCUGACUCUUCUUGGGAAAGGCUGUGUUUAUUAGAUUGAAAACCAACAGCAGUGGUAUUUAUUUACCAUUGUAUAACUUGGUGAGUCAUAAUAAAUGAGCGAAUCUUCGGUUUUUCGAAGAUGAAACAUUUCUAUUUCCGCUCUAUCAACUCUGGCGUUAAGGUAGUGGCUUAACGGAGUUUUGACGGAUAACGGAGAAUUAGGGUUCGAUUCCGGAGAGGGAGCCUGAGAAACGGCUACCACUUCUAAGGAAGGCAGCAGGCGCGAAAAUUACCCAAUCCCAAUUAUCUUGGGGAGGUAGUGACAAAAAAUAACGAUGCAGGGUUCUAACGAAUUCUGUAAUUGUAAUGGUCUGGACUCAAAACAUCCAGAGAGCAACAAUUAGAGGGCAAGUCUGGUGCCAGCAGCCGCGGUAAUUCCAGCUCUAAUAGUGUAUACUAAAAUUGCUGCAGUUAAAAAGCUCGUAGUUGGAUUUUAGGCGGAGCUGUUUGUCAAUAUGACUGGGGAUAUUUUUUCAGGUGAGGGGGGUUACUCUUGUAUCUAAAGGGAACCUAAUUAUCCUUCAUUUGAGGUAUCCUUAAUUUUAAGUCAGUCAUUUUGAUUGUUUCGCCGAGUUUUUUUCGGGUUGGUUUUGUCCUCUUUAUUGAGUGGCAAGAUUGAUUCGGAGGAUUUACUUUGAAGAAAAUGGAGUGUUCAAAGCAGGCGUUUUUGCAGCUGAACACAUUAGCAUGGAAUAAUAAAAUAAGACAUCGGGGAUUGUUUUUUCCGGCUGGCUAAGGUUCGUCUCCAAUUGAUUUCUAUUUCUUCAUCUUCUUUUAUCAGGAUUUUUCAUUUUUGGUCUUUUCUUAGGUCAGGAUGAAGUCUUGAUGGGGGUUGAAGAUGGAAAUGAGUUGGGAUCUAGAAAGGUCAGUUCGGGGGCAGUCUACAGUAAUGUAUUCGUUUUGUUGGUUCAUGGAGUUGAUGUAAUGAUUAAUAGGAAUAGUCGGGGAUAUCCGUAUUGCAUUGUCAGAGGUGAAAUUCUUGGAUUUAUGCAAGACGAACUAGUGCGAAAGCAUUUAUCAAGGAUGUUUUCAUUAAUCAAGAACGAAAGUAAGGGGAUCGAAGACGAUCAGAAACCGUUGUAGUCCUUGCCAUAAACUAUACCGUCUAAGGAUCGGUGGUUGUCAGAUUUUAGGACUCCUCCGGCACUUUUAGAGAAAUCAGAAGUCUCUGGGUUCUGGGGGGAGUAUGGUCGCAAGGCUGAAACUUAAAGAAAUUGACGGAAGGGCACCACCAGGUGUGGAGCCUGCGGCUUAAUWUGACUCAACACGGGGAAACUUACCAGGUCCGGACGCGGGAAGGAUUGACAGAUUGAUAGCUCUUUCUUGAUUCCGUGGGUGGUGGUGCAUGGUCGUUCUUAGUUGGUGGAGUGAUUUGUCUGGUUAAUUCCGAUAACGAACGAGACCUCAACCUACUAAAUAGCCAGGUUUCAAGUUUUAAUAAGGAAGAGGAGGUUAUAUGGGGCAACUCAUGUGAUUUUCUUCUUUCUUGCUUGAGACUACAAAUUUUAUGGUUUCUUCUUAGGGGGACUACCGUAUUUUUUUUAAACGGGGGAAGCAUGAGGCAAUAACAGGUCUGUGAUGCCCUUAGAUGUCCUGGACCGCACGCGCGCUACAAUGAUGCAGUCAACGAGCUUGUCCUGUCCCGAAAGGGUUGGGUAAUCUUUUGAAACUGCAUCGUACUGGGGAUUGAUCUUUGUAAUUCUGGAUCAUGAACAAGGAAUACCUAGUAGGUACGGUUCAUCAGAUCGUGCCGAUUACGUCCCUGCCCUUUGUACACACCGCCCGUCGCUCCUACCGAUGAUUGUUCAGAUGAAAUGCUCGGAUUGUGCGGUUGUGGCUGCCCAAAAGGUGGUCGCUUACUGCUCUGGAGAAGAGUAGUGAAUCUUAACACUUAGAGGAAGGAGAAGUCGUAACAAG
This 2121-nucleotide ribosomal RNA is filed under the name Opisthomitus longiflagellatus. RNAcentral's name for it is "partial small subunit ribosomal RNA". It matches the Rfam family "Eukaryotic small subunit ribosomal RNA". The record is from RNAcentral. Lineage: Eukaryota; Preaxostyla; Oxymonadida.